Unclassified non-coding RNA from Pongo abelii (Sumatran orangutan), 117 nucleotides. It matches the Rfam family "Metazoan signal recognition particle RNA". Rfam says of the family: The signal recognition particle (SRP) is a universally conserved ribonucleoprotein. NCBI's taxonomy places the organism in Eukaryota, Metazoa, Chordata, Mammalia, Primates, Hominidae. The record is from Ensembl.
GCCGGGCGCGGUGGUUCACGCCUGUAAUCCUAGCACCUUGGGAGGCCGAGGUGGGCGGAUCACCUGAGGUCAGGAGUUCAAGACCAGCCUGGCCAACAUGGUGAAACCCCGUCUCUA